GCAUAUCAAUAAGCGGAGGAAAAGAAAAUAACAAUGAUUCCCUUAGUAACGGCGAGUGAAGGGGGAAAAGCUCAAAUUUUAAAUCUGCUAGGUUUUUACUUUUCAGAAUUGUAAUUUGAAGAAGCGUUUUCCGCGUCUCGGUUGGCCCAAAUCCUUUGGGAUAAGGUAUCAUGGAGGGUGAGAAUCCCGUUCGGUUGACCUUAUGACGCUUUACGAUACGCUCUCUAAGAGUCGAGUUGUUUGGGAUUGCAGCUCAAAAUGGGAGGUAAAUUUCUCCUAAGGCUAAAUAUCGGCGAGAGACCGAUAGCGAACAAGUACCGUGAGGGAAAGAUGAAAAGAACUUUGAAAAGAGAGUAAAAUAGUACGUGAAAUUGUUGAAAGGGAAACGAUUGAAGUCAGUCGUACCGACGAGAAAUCAACUUAUCGUGUGCGAACU
This 436-nucleotide ribosomal RNA is filed under the name uncultured fungus. RNAcentral's name for it is "LSU rRNA". It matches the Rfam family "Eukaryotic large subunit ribosomal RNA", at positions 38 to 469 of the family's 3401-position model. Lineage: Eukaryota; Fungi. The record is from RNAcentral.